Molecule: regulatory RNA element, 31 nt
Organism: Ovis aries (sheep)
Lineage: Eukaryota; Metazoa; Chordata; Mammalia; Artiodactyla; Bovidae
Rfam family: Iron response element II
About the family: IRE, TFRC, SLC40A1, SDHB, SLC11A2, CDC42BPA, ACO2, ALAS2_H.SAPIENS, CDC14A, EPAS1, ALAS2, qoxD, Hao1, NDUFS1, transferrin, Aconitate.
Source: Rfam
UCAACAUCUUGAACAGUGCUUCAAAUGUUUU